UCUUCAUUAUUUGGACUUAUGGAAUCAUGUUAUCUGGUUUUCUACUCCUCGUGGUAGUCGAUUUUCAAAAUAUUGAGUUUCUAUGUGGGAAACUGUUUUUAAAGAAUUUAAAAUGGAUUGAUGAAUGUUUGGAGUUUAAAAUAAAGCUUCCGGAUGUGGAGCACUUUUAAUAAUAUUGUGCAUCGCAUCAUCCAACGCAUAAGGAGUGCUUAGAGGCAUGCAUCAUUUCUAAGAAUGAUUAGCUGUAUAAAAAUGCAUUACAUUGAUUGUCUGUAGAUUAAGGCUGCGUUUGGUUCGGGUAUAAGUAAGAACUGCUAGUUCUAGGGAUAGGUACAAGUUCAGGUAUAAGCAGGAACUAGACCAAUUUUGCGUUUGGAUGAAAAUUGGGUUGUUCCUAAGAAUAAGACAAAUAGUGUUUGGAUGGUUAAAUUGGAACAAGAGGAAUAAGAGUUAUAAUUUGAAAUUAAAAUUAUAUUAUGUAAUUAAUAGUAAUAAAAAUAUUACUUAAAAAUAAAUAAGAAAUUAAUUAUUAAUAAUUAAUUAUAAAUAAUAAUAAUUAUUUAAUAAUUAAUUAUAAAUAAUAAAUUAAUAAUAUGGAUGAUCUAAUUAAUAAUAAUAAUUAUUAUUAUUAAUUAUUAAUAAAUAAUAAUAAUUAUUAAUUAUUCUUAUUAAUUAAUUAUAAAUAAUAAAUUAAUAAUAAUAUUGAUUAUCUAAUUAUUAAUAAUAAUUAAUAUUAAUAUUUAUUAAUAAAUAAUAAUAAUAAUAAUUAUUUAAUUAUAAAUAAUAAAUUAAUAAUAAUAUCCAUUAUCUAAUUAUUAAGAAUAAGAAUUAUUAAUUAAUUAUUAAUAAAUAAUAAUUAUUAUUAAUUAUUAAUUAUUAAUUAUAAAUAAUAAAUUAAUAAUAAUAUCGAUUAUCUAAUUAUUAAGAAUAAAAAUUAUUAAUAAUUAUUAAUAAAUAAUAAUUAUUAUUAAUUAUAAAUAAUUAAUUAUAAAUAAUAAAUUAAUAAUAAUAUCGAUUAUCUAAUUAUUAAGAAUAAAAAUUAUUAAUAAUUAAUAAUAAAUAAUAAUAAUUAUUAAUUAUUAAGAAUUAAUUAUAAAUAAUAAAUUAAAAAUAAUAUCUAUUGUCAUUAAGAAUAAAUAAUAAUUAUUAAUAAAAAAAUAAUGAAUAUUAUUAAUUAUUUAUAAUUAAUUAUAAAUAAUAAAUUAAUAAUAAUAAUUAUCUAAUUAUUAAUAUUUAAUUAUAAAUAAUAAAUUAUUUAAAUUAUUUAAUUAUUAAAGUAAUAAAUAACGAUUUAAAUAUAUUAAUUAGAUUAAUUAAUAAUUUACUUCCAUUAAAAUUAAAUUUAGAUUUUAAUUAAUCUUGUUCUCAUCCAGGAACAAGCUUGUUCUAGGAAACGGGUGGAACAGCAGUUCCAGCCUUAUACUAGCUAGUUCCAGAUUCCCGGGAACUACUGUUCUCGGGAACCAAACGUUGCGUUUGGGAACAAAGGGGGGAACAAGGGCUUAUUCCCCCUCUUGUUUCCGAACCAAACACUACCUAAGUGAAUAUAGGUCAUGAGUUGUGAUUCUGUUGAUGUGGAGGUUAUGAGUUGUGAUUCUGUUGAUGUUGUUUGAUCGGUACGCCGUAGAAAUAUAAAGGAGACUCUGUUCGUGUGGGUAGAGGAAUUUGCAUUUGUGGCGGGUUUGUACGUCAUGUGGGUUAGACUAUUUCAAAAAAAAA
This 1719-nucleotide long non-coding RNA is filed under the name Ananas comosus (pineapple). RNAcentral's name for it is "long non-coding RNA (ACOM_LNC019537)". Lineage: Eukaryota; Viridiplantae; Streptophyta; Magnoliopsida; Poales; Bromeliaceae. The record is from RNAcentral.